This 189-nucleotide ribosomal RNA is filed under the name uncultured Alistipes sp. RNAcentral describes it as "partial 16S ribosomal RNA". It matches the Rfam family "Bacterial small subunit ribosomal RNA", at positions 338 to 524 of the family's 1533-position model. Lineage: Bacteria; Pseudomonadati; Bacteroidota; Bacteroidia; Bacteroidales; Rikenellaceae. The record is from RNAcentral.
CCUACGGGAGGCAGCAGUGAGGAAUAUUGGUCAAUGGACGCAAGUCUGAACCAGCCAUGCCGCGUGCAGGAUGACGGCUCUAUGAGUUGUAAACUGCUUUUGUACGAGGGUAAACGCAGAUACGUGUAUCUGUCUGAAAGUAUCGUACGAAUAAGGAUCGGCUAACUCCGUGCCAGCAGCCGCGGUAAU